ACUCUAACAGUAAAUUCAUGGUCAAUGUGCUGGUAUUUAAGCACUGAAAUUUAGAUCAAUAUUGAAAGGCAAAUUGGAAUAAUUCAGCUAUAAAUAUUCGCGUCACUAUUUAGAGAAAUGUUUGCCAAAAUUGAUAGUAAGACAUCAAUUUCAGUGCUAACUGUACAUUAAAUUGCAUUAUUUUUCUUUAAAGAAAUAAUGUUUAACACCGUUGUAGAACAAAUAACAUAUUGUUAGAUCGCUGUCUAAAAAUUAGUGAGUUUGUCGGGCUUUUAAGCAGUCGUUGGAAAGAAUUUCUUCCUAAGGUUCAGAGGUGCUUCGCUCAAAAGAUGUUCUUCUUUGUUCCAGUUUCAAGAAAUAGCCACACAAGUCUUACCUUUUCGGUAGUCUUAGACAAAGUAGAUAACUUGAGAAUAACUGCGUUUCCAGGUGGAUGGAGAAAUUUCAAAUUGAAAAAUUGCAGGAAGUAAUCAAAACUAUACAGGUUUGCCAGUCAUUUUAAUUCUUCCUUGCGCUAACGACUUCGAAGGCGUGUGAAUAAUUUUUUAAAUUUGCUAUAAUAUUAAUUGAGAACUUAUUACGAACAAUGCAAGUGAUGGACAAUGAACAUUAUGUGUGUGAUCAGGGCAAACAGUUAAAAUAUGUGAAUAUCUCUAAUAUUAAUGAAUUAUUUUCAUAUCUCCUAUAGGUAUUUUAUGUUCUCUUUUAGCCCUUUCUUAAUAAUUCAAAUAAAAAUAACAAUUCUAGUCAA
Molecule: long non-coding RNA, 751 nt
Organism: Dendroctonus ponderosae (mountain pine beetle)
Lineage: Eukaryota; Metazoa; Arthropoda; Insecta; Coleoptera; Curculionidae
Exons: 2
Source: RefSeq, a predicted model, not a curated record